GGGGUGAGGAUUCGGCCAAGCGCACGGGAGAAGCGGAGGGCCUAGUUCGAUUGGGCCCUUUUUGGUCUUCUCAUUCCUUGCUUUUCUCCCCCUUUUUUUUUGGGCUCUCUUUCUUUGGAGCCUUAGAUGCCAUGACCUCCUUCCUCAUUUGGAUCCCAUAAAAAUUCAAAAUUUUAAAUAUAAAUGAGAAAAUAAAAUAAACC
RNAcentral lists this long non-coding RNA (203 nucleotides) under Elaeis guineensis (African oil palm). RNAcentral's name for it is "long non-coding RNA (EGUI_LNC042811)". Lineage: Eukaryota; Viridiplantae; Streptophyta; Magnoliopsida; Arecales; Arecaceae. The record is from RNAcentral.